CUGGGGGUUCAGGGACUGGGCAAACGACUGGUGGUGAGGCUCUGCUGUCGGAGAAUGCGAGAGGCGUCCCGAAUGAACCUGGCAGCCGUUCGUCGAUGCCCUCUUCGAGGGUGUCCCAGGUGUCAGCGCGCGACCUCCUGCUAAGCGAGCUGACCAAGAUACGAAAAGAGGAAGAAAAGGAAAAUGAGAUGAAGGAGAAGGAGGUCUCUCCUUGCUGAUUCCUAGGCGGAGAGAGUUUUGAUGACCGUUAUUUUGUUUCAAUACCUUUUGAUAAUUUCUGCCCUUGUCCUUGGUGCAGAAGCAUCGACUGGAAUUGGAGCUGGAGAAAGAGCUAGACCAGGUUCGGAGGAAGUACGAUUCGUUACUGCAAGACGUGGAGACGACAUUUGCGGAGAGGAAUAAGC
This 404-nucleotide long non-coding RNA is filed under the name Spirodela polyrhiza (greater duckweed). RNAcentral describes it as "long non-coding RNA (SPOL_LNC000589)". The record is from RNAcentral. Lineage: Eukaryota; Viridiplantae; Streptophyta; Magnoliopsida; Alismatales; Araceae.